This 253-nucleotide ribosomal RNA is filed under the name uncultured Lactobacillus sp. Its description in RNAcentral is "partial 16S ribosomal RNA". It matches the Rfam family "Bacterial small subunit ribosomal RNA", at positions 524 to 776 of the family's 1533-position model. Lineage: Bacteria; Bacillati; Bacillota; Bacilli; Lactobacillales; Lactobacillaceae. The record is from RNAcentral.
UACGUAGGUGGCAAGCGUUGUCCGGAUUUAUUGGGCGUAAAGCGAGCGCAGGCGGAAAGAUAAGUCUGAUGUGAAAGCCUUCGGCUUAACCGGAGUAGUGCAUUGGAAACUGGGAGACUUGAGUGCAGAAGAGGAGAGUGGAACUCCAUGUGUAGCGGUGAAAUGCGUAGAUAUAUGGAAGAACACCAGUGGCGAAAGCGGCUCUCUGGUCUGUAACUGACGCUGAGGUUCGAAAGCGUGGGUAGCAAACAGG